GUAGGUGGCAAGCGUUGUCCGGAAUUAUUGGGCGUAAAGCGCGCGCAGGCGGUUCUUUAAGUCUGAUGUGAAAGCCCACGGCUCAACCGUGGAGGGUCAUUGGAAACUGGAGAACUUGAGUACUGAAGAGGAAAGCGGAAUUCCACGUGUAGCGGUGAAAUGCGUAGAGAUGUGGAGGAACACCAGUGGCGAAGGCGGCUUUUCUGGUCUGUAACUGACGCUGAGGCGCGAAAGCGUGGGGAGCAAACAGGGAUUAGAUACCCUGGUAGUCCACGCCGUAAACGAUGAGUGCUAAGUGUUAGGGGGUUCCCCGCCCCCUUAGUGCUGCAGCUAACGCAUUAAGCACUCCGCCUGGGGAUACGGCCGCAAGGCUG
RNAcentral lists this ribosomal RNA (374 nucleotides) under uncultured organism. Its description in RNAcentral is "partial 16S ribosomal RNA". It matches the Rfam family "Bacterial small subunit ribosomal RNA", at positions 527 to 896 of the family's 1533-position model. The record is from RNAcentral.